Long non-coding RNA from Zingiber officinale, 1679 nucleotides. RefSeq lists it as uncharacterized. The record is from RefSeq and is a predicted model, not a curated record. Lineage: Eukaryota; Viridiplantae; Streptophyta; Magnoliopsida; Zingiberales; Zingiberaceae. The transcript is spliced from 2 exons.
AGGUGGUCAUCUUAAUUAGACUGCAAAAAGUCUUGUUUAAAUAUCAUAAUUUCGAUGAAAAACUACAUUUUCAACUCAUCAAAUCAACUUAAUGACCCAUUUUUCUGUGUUGCAUGAUCUUUAAUACUCCACAAUGAAAAGUAAGGUAAGCUAAAUGCUUUUCAAGAUGUAAAUGUGUUUACAAGUGAACUCUAAAUUAAUAACCAUUUACUUGCCAAUGCUUCAUGCAUUGGAUCACCUUUAUACCAUAAAACAUCAAGUAAUCCGAUUACGAAAAACGACCAGGUUUUAGGAAUUCUGAUAAUCCAGCAGAGCAUGUUAUCAUUUGAAAGAAGUUGUUAUACAUUCCAAUUCUAAUCAACAGUUUCUCUAUAAUGUGUCAAAAAAAAGUGAUUCGCUAGCCCCCAGUGCCCCUGCCAACCCGUCUCUAAAUCAACACAGAAGUAGUAAAUCACGGAUGACUAUUAGCCAUUAGUGCAGAUGGCCAAGACAUGAGGGAAGGCAUACUCAGACAUGUGGCAACACCUCAUGUAUUUACCACAAGACCCAUCCGAGGGGACCUCAACAAUUUCUCUAUAAUAACCCAAUGAGAAGUGGUUCAUCUAUCAAUCAUUAUUUAAACAUUUCAAAAAAAGGCCUCCUAUAAUGUCAUUCCUUCUAACCUAAUAUUCUAUAUAAAACUUUCUAGAUUAAAAGUUAAUUUUGGUUGGUUCCUUGCUAAUCAUUUGGCUUAAAAAAAUAAAUAAAAUAAAAAUAAUCUAUUUUUUACAACCAAAAAUUGAUACAGGUAACAACAAUGAACAUAGCAACUUAUUGAAUGAAUGCAACUAUUGGAGAUCAACAACAUUCUAGAUACACCUUGGCUCAGUGUAAAUUUCUUUCCUUUUUCUUUUCCUUUUUGAAGGGGAGGAAAGAAGCCUACCAAUUUGCAUUAGUAAUAAGGAUAAAACAUAGGCAUAUAAGAAAGCAUAUGAAAGUAUGAGGAAAAAAACGAACAUAAUAAGAGUUAAGAGCUGGACUUAGAUGCUAUCUGAGGAGAUAGCUUGAUAUGCAAAGCUAUCCAUUGGAAUCACAAACAAGCAUCGAUCAAGGAGAGGUUUAAUUGGUUUCAUAGCCAGGCGUCUUGGCUAGCUAGUGUGGACUUAGGCUCACAUUAAAUAACAACAACAACAAAAAACAAGUCUGUAUAAACGCAAGGGAGGAAAACAAACAAGAAAUAAAUUAAUAGUGUAGGCAUGUCGAUGGAGACUAAGUCAUAAACCUUUAAGAAACCAUGGCUUGUGUUCAGAGGGGGGUUCUGUGCACCAAGGCAACGAAGUGGCAAAGAACAAGAUCUAGUCCCACAAAAGGUGACAGGCCUUCAAGGAGUGGGGCAAUUCUACAGGUCAGGUCAGAGUUAGUCCACUACGGAGAACAAUUCGAUCUCUUCUUACAACUACCAAUAACCAAUCACAUGCUCGACGAUAAUCUAUAAAGGCAAAAAAUUUAGGGCGAAAUCACAUAACAUAAGUAAAAGAAAAACUCAUCUAAUAAGGAACAGGAUCUACCAUGCUUAUGGCCGGAUCCUUUCUCAAGGGUAUGGCAGUGAGCGCACUUGGCCCUGAAGAUCUUCUCCCCCGCCCUUGCAUUCCCAGGAGGCACCUCGCCGAAGGUCGCCAUCUCGCGAGCAAACACUAGAC